RNAcentral lists this ribosomal RNA (760 nucleotides) under uncultured bacterium. RNAcentral describes it as "bacterial SSU rRNA". It matches the Rfam family "Bacterial small subunit ribosomal RNA", at positions 8 to 745 of the family's 1533-position model. The record is from RNAcentral.
AGACUUUGAUUCUGGCUCAGAUUGAACGCUAGCGGGAUGCUUUACACAUGCAAGUCGAACGGCAGCAUGAGAGAGCUUGCUCUCUUGAUGGCGAGUGGCGGACGGGUGAGUAAUGUAUCGGAACGUGCCCGGUAGUGGGGGAUAACUACGCGAAAGCGUAGCUAAUACCGCAUAUUCUCUACGGAGGAAAAAGGGGGAUCAUAAGACCUCUUGCUACCGGAGCGGCCGAUAUCAGAUUAGCUAGUUGGUGGGGUAACGGCCUACCAAGGCGGUGAUCUGUAGCUGGUUUGAGAGGACGACCAGCCACACUGGGACUGAGACACGGCCCAGACUCCUACGGGAGGCAGCAGUGGGGAACUUUUCGACAAUGGGGGGAACCCUGAUCGAGCCAUCUCGCGUGUGGGACGAAGGCCUUCGGGUUGUAAACCACUUUUCUCAACGAAGAAAAGUCUUAGGCUAAUACCUUAAGAUGCUGACGGUAGUUGAGGAAUAAGCACCGGCUAACUACGUGCCAGCAGCCGCGGUAAUACGUAGGGUGCGAGCGUUAAUCGGAAUUACUGGGCGUCAAAGGGUGCGCAGGCGGCUUGGAAAAGAACGGUGUGAAAUCCCGGGGCUCAACCUCGGAACUGCCACUAUUAACUGCCAAGCUAGAGUCACGUCAGAGGGGGGUGGAAUUCCGCGUGUUAGCACGUGAAAUUGCGUAGAUCUGCGGAGGAACACCGAUGGCGAAGGCAGCCCCCUUGGGAUUGGUACCUUGACG